CCGAAGUACCUCGACUGGAUGAAAGGGCAGAGAAGGCAGAGGCAGACGAGCACUCCGGUUCGCGCACCAUCCGGAGUGGGUCCAAAAAAGACAGGUUUCACUUUGUAGCCCAGAUUGGUCUCAAACUCACAAUCCUUCUGCCUCAGCCUCCCCAGUGGUGGGAUUACAGGCAUGCAACACCACGUCUGGCUCAAUUCCCUCACUUCUUCAAUUUCUCCAUGAGAAAGAGGAAGAGGACACAAAGUGAGGUAGAAUUGGAUACGCAGAGUCAGCUUUACGUGUUUCUUCUCUAUUGUCAUCGUUACUCAUCACAACCAUUAAGAGGCACCUAAUUUCCCAGAGCAAAGCACUUGGACAAAAGCAACUGAAUAUAAAUCUACAGAAUAAAGAGAUUUUUUGAAUAAACAGAUUAGACAAAAAUGUGAGUGGAUAACAUCACAUCCUUGAAAG
RNAcentral lists this long non-coding RNA (450 nucleotides) under Heterocephalus glaber (naked mole-rat). Its description in RNAcentral is "lncRNA (ENSHGLG00100046957.1)". The record is from RNAcentral. Lineage: Eukaryota; Metazoa; Chordata; Mammalia; Rodentia; Bathyergidae.